This is a long non-coding RNA of Ictalurus punctatus (channel catfish), 547 nucleotides long. The record is from Ensembl. Lineage: Eukaryota; Metazoa; Chordata; Actinopteri; Siluriformes; Ictaluridae.
GUUCCACUUCCUGCUAAGAACUCGAUCAGGUCACAUAGUUGUGUCUGCACGUCUUCCAUUUCUGAAUUGGAAUGAAUUAUAUUAUAACUGUUGGAUAUAUAUUAUUCAUCUUCAGUAACUGGUUUAUCUUGAUCAGGAUCGCAGUGGAUCCGGAGCCUAUCCUGGGAACAAAGGGUGCAACCCAGGAACACAUCCUGGGUGGGACACCAGUUUUUCGCAAGGCACCAUGCACACCCACACCCACACAGGAGCAGUUUGGCAUAGCCAGUCCAAAUACUGGCAUGUUCUGGGGAGGUGGGAGAAAACCGAAGAACCUGGAGGAACUUGGAUAUCCUUUUAAGCCAUUCUGUAAAAGAGGAGCAUCGUGGCAGUGGACAAAAAAAACUCUGACACUUCCAGAACUUUGUCAUCAGCCAUCUUUGGUCACAAUGGCACUUAAUCAACUGCUGGUGAGCAUGUCUGAUUACGAUACAACUCACGAUCAAAGAGUUUGCUUACAAUGUGCGAUUUUGUCUGUGACAGGAAAAUCAUACAGCGUAAACCCGAC